AAUGAACGUCGGCGGCAUGGAUUAGGCAUGCAAGUCGAGCGAGAAGAGUUUUGAAGCUUGCUUUAGAACUCGGACAGCGGCGAAAGGGAGAGUAACGCGUAGUUAUGUGCCCUAGGGUCCGGAAUAGCCACGGGAAACUGUGGGUAAUGCCGGAUAAUCUCCCUGGCACAAAGGUGUGAUUCCGCCCUAGGAGCAGACUGCGUCCUAGUAGCUAGUUGGUGGGGUAAUGGCCUACCAAGGCAACGAUGGGGAGCGGGUGUGAGAGCAUGACCCGGCUAACUGGGACUGAGACACUGCCCAGACACCUAUGGGUGGGUGCAGUCGAGAAUCUUCGGCAAUGGGCGAAAGCCUGACCGAGCGAUGCCGCGUGCGGGAUGAAGGCCCUCGGGUUGUAAUCCGCUGUCGUAGGGGAGGAAGGUUCCGUGAAGAGCGGAAUUUGACCUAUCCUAGGAGGAAGUACGGGCUAAGUUCGUGCCAGCCGCCGCCGUAA
RNAcentral lists this ribosomal RNA (490 nucleotides) under uncultured bacterium. RNAcentral's name for it is "partial 16S ribosomal RNA". It matches the Rfam family "Bacterial small subunit ribosomal RNA", at positions 29 to 523 of the family's 1533-position model. The record is from RNAcentral.